Molecule: ribosomal RNA, 497 nt
Filed under: uncultured bacterium
Lineage: Bacteria
Description: partial 16S ribosomal RNA
Rfam family: Bacterial small subunit ribosomal RNA
Source: RNAcentral
GAUGAACGCUGGCGGCGUACCUAAUACAUGCAAGUCGAGCGGACGGACGAGAAGCUUGCUUCUCUGAUGUUAGCGGCGGACGGGUGAGUAACACGUGGAUAACCUACCUAUAAGACUGGGAUAACUUCGGGAAACCGGAGCUAAUACCGGAUAAUCUUUUGAACCGCAUGGUUCAAAAGUGAAAGACGGUCUUGCUGUCACUUAUAGAUGGAUCCGCGCUGCAUUAGCUAGUUGGUAAGGUAACGGCUUACCAAGGCAACGAUGCAUAGCCGACCUGAGAGGGUGAUCGGCCACACUAGAACUGAGACACGGUCCAGACGCCUACGGGAGGCAGCAGUAGGGAAUCUUCCGCAAUGGGCGAAAGCCUGACGGAGCAACGCCGCGUGAGUGAUGAAGGUCUUCGGAUCGUAAAACUCUGUUAUUAGGGAAGAACAGAUGUGUAAGUAACUGUGCACAUCUUGACGGUACCUAAUCAGAAAGCCACGGCUAACUACGUG